CCUACGGGAGACAGCAGUGAGGAAUAUUGGUCAAUGGGCGAGAGCCUGAACCAGCCAAGUCGCGUGAGGGAGUACUGCCCUAUGGGUUGUAAACCUCUUUUGUCGGGGAGCAAAAGCCGGACCUGUCCGGCUGUGAGAGCACACGAAGAAAAAGCAUCGGCAAACUCCGUGCCAGCGGCCGCGGUAUUACGGAGGAUGCGCGCGUUAUCCGGAUUUAUUGGGUGUAAAGGGGGCGCAGGCGGAAUAUUAAGUCAGCGGUCAAAUCGUGGGGCUCAACCCCAUCCAGCCGUUGAAACUGGGGAUCUAGAGGGGGCGAGAGGUAUGCGGAAUGCGUGGUGUAGCGGUGAAAUGCAUAGAUAUCACGCAGAACCCCGAUUGCGAAGGCAGCAUACCGGUGCACAACUGACGCUCAGGCACGAAAGCGUGGGUAUCGAACAGGAUUAGAUACCCCAGUAGUC
Molecule: ribosomal RNA, 458 nt
Filed under: uncultured bacterium
Lineage: Bacteria
Description: partial 16S ribosomal RNA
Rfam family: Bacterial small subunit ribosomal RNA
Source: RNAcentral